This 524-nucleotide unclassified non-coding RNA is filed under the name Hevea brasiliensis (rubber tree). Lineage: Eukaryota; Viridiplantae; Streptophyta; Magnoliopsida; Malpighiales; Euphorbiaceae. The record is from RNAcentral.
UCUCAAUGAACUUCUUCUCUGCCACCUCCUUAGCUCUGAAGGCAUCUUCUUUAUUGCACUCCAUUUUCACUGUCUCAUCAAUGGCUCUCCUUCUUUGUAUGUAUAAGCCAAGGCCAGCAACAAGAACUCAAUCAGCAAUAUCUAAAUUUUAAACCUAAAGCUUCAGCAUUCAUCUUCAUGAAUCUGCCUUUGAUCUUGCAAUCCCCAUUUGCAUAGAGUUUAUCCACAGGGACGCCAUUGACGAAUUAUCUUUUCAAUUUUGAUUUUGCCUAUUUUACAAGACAGAUCAAAAGGGGGAAUUUUUUUUAUUGGAACAGUAUUUUUUGUUUUUGAAUUUUUUUUUCUUUUUUUUUUAAUCCGUUUGUUGUAUAUAUUCUUGCAUAUGUACAUCUGAUAAACUCUUUAACUCUAUUUGUGCUGUCAUUCAGCACUGACUAACUCCUUAAUAAACACCCAAUGUUUCUUCCUGCAAAGACUACAAAAUUUUUUCAGAGAUUAUUUUUUCUUUGCAAUGUUGAACUAAG